GGAAAGCUUUUUUGUGGUUUUGGAUGGACUCGCGGCCUAUCAGCUUGUUGGUGAGGUAAUGGCUCACCAAGGCGACGACGGGUAGCCGGCCUGAGAGGGUGACCGGCCACACUGGGACUGAGACACGGCCCAGACUCCUACGGGAGGCAGCAGUGGGGAAUAUUGCACAAUGGGCGCAAGCCUGAUGCAGCGACGCCGCGUGAGGGAUGACGGCCUUCGGGUUGUAAACCUCUUUCAGUAGGGAAGAAGCGAAAGUGACGGUACCUGCAGAAGAAGCGCCGGCUAACUACGUGCCAGCAGCCGCGGUAAUACGUAGGGCGCAAGCGUUAUCCGGAAUUAUUGGGCGUAAAGAGCUCGUAGGCGGUUUGUCGCGUCUGCCGUGAAAGUCCGGGGCUCAACUCCGGAUCUGCGGUGGGUACGGGCAGACUAGAGUGAUGUAGGGGAGACUGGAAUUCCUGGUGUAGCGGUGAAAUGCGCAGAUAUCAGGAGGAACACCGAUGGCGAAGGCAGGUCUCUGGGCAUUAACUGACGCUGAGGAGCGAAAGCAUGGGGAGCGAACAGGAUUAGAUACCCUGGUAGUCCAUGCCGUAAACGUUGGGCACUAGGUGUGGGGGACAUUCCACGUUUUCCGCGCCGUAGCUAACGCAUUAAGUGCCCCGCCUGGGGAGUACGGCCGCAAGGCUAAAACUCAAAGGAAUUGACGGGGGCCCGCACAAGCGGCGGAGCAUGCGGAUUAAUUCGAUGCAACGCGAAGAACCUUACCAAGGCUUGACAUGAACCGGAAAUACCUGGAAACAGGUGCCCCGCUUGCGGUCGGUUUACAGGUGGUGCAUGGUUGUCGUCAGCUCGUGUCGUGAGAUGUUGGGUUAAGUCCCGCAACGAGCGCAACCCUCGUUCUAUGUUGCCAGCGCGUGAUGGCGGGGACUCAUAGGAGACUGCCGGGGUCAACUCGGAGGAAGGUGGGGACGACGUCAAAUCAUCAUGCCCCUUAUGUCUUGGGCUUCACGCAUGCUACAAUGGCCGGUACAAAGGGUUGCGAUACUGUGAGGUGGAGCUAAUCCCAAAAAGCCGGUCUCAGUUCGGAUUGGGGUCUGCAACUCGACCCCAUGAAGUCGGAGUCGCUAGUAAUCGCAGAUCAGCAACGCUGCGGUGAAUACGUUCCCGGGCCUUGUACACACC
RNAcentral lists this ribosomal RNA (1179 nucleotides) under Pseudarthrobacter siccitolerans. Its description in RNAcentral is "bacterial SSU rRNA". It matches the Rfam family "Bacterial small subunit ribosomal RNA", at positions 201 to 1391 of the family's 1533-position model. The record is from RNAcentral. Lineage: Bacteria; Bacillati; Actinomycetota; Actinomycetes; Micrococcales; Micrococcaceae.